UCUGAUGGCCCAGCAGUGAGGAUAUGGAGGUCUGAGGGCCCAGCAGUGAGGAUAUGGAGGUCUGAUGGCCCAGCAGUGAGGAUAUGGAGGUCUGAUGGCCCAGCAGUGAGGAUAUGGAGGUCUGAUGGCCCAGCAGUGAGGAUAUGGAGGUCUGAUGGCCCAGCAGUGAGGAUAUGGAGGUCUGAUGGCCCAGCAGUGAGGAUAUGGAGGUCUGAUGGCCCAGCAGUGAGGAUAUGGAGGUCUGAGGGCCCAGCAGUGAGGAUAUGGAGGUCUGAGGGCCCAGCAGUGAGGAUAUGGAGGUCUGAUGGCCCAGCAGUGAGGAUAU
Molecule: long non-coding RNA, 325 nt
Organism: Acomys russatus (golden spiny mouse)
Lineage: Eukaryota; Metazoa; Chordata; Mammalia; Rodentia; Muridae
Exons: 4
Source: RefSeq, a predicted model, not a curated record